UACGGAGGGAGCUAGCGUUGUUCGGAAUCACUGGGCGUAAAGGGCGCGUAGGCGGACUUGUAAGUCGGGAGUGAAAACUCGGGGCUCAACCCCGAGCCUGCUUCCGAAACUGCGAGUCUUGAGGACCGGAGAGGAAAGUGGAAUUCCUAGUGUAGCGGUGGAAUGCGUAGAUAUUAGGAAGAACACCAGUGGCGAAGGCGACUUUCUGGACGGUUCCUGACGCUGAGGCGCGAAAGCUAGGGGAGCAAACAGG
Molecule: ribosomal RNA, 253 nt
Filed under: uncultured bacterium
Lineage: Bacteria
Description: partial 16S ribosomal RNA
Rfam family: Bacterial small subunit ribosomal RNA
Source: RNAcentral